UAACGAAUCUUCCGCAAUGCGCGAAAGCGUGACGGAGCAAUGCCGCGUGCAGGAUGAAGCUUCUCGGAGUGUAAACUGCUGUCAGGGUUUAGCAACACAAUGAGCAGACCCAAAGGAAGGGCCGGCUAACUUCGUGCCAGCAGCCGCGGUAACACGAAGGGCCCGAGCGUUGCGCGGAAUCAUUGGGCUUAAAGCGUACGUAGGCGGGCGCGCAGGCGUCUUGUGAAAGCCCUCGGCUCAACCGAGGAAUUGCUCGACGAACCGCGUGUCUUGAAGCAAGUAGGGGCUGUCGGAACGAUAGGUGGAGUGGUGAAAUGCGUUGAUAUCUAUCGGAACGCCGAAGGAGAAAUCAGGCAGCUGGGCUUGUCUUGACGCUGAGGUACGAAAGCGUGGGGAGCGAACGGGAUUAGAUACCCCCGUAGUCC
Molecule: ribosomal RNA, 425 nt
Filed under: uncultured prokaryote
Description: bacterial SSU rRNA
Rfam family: Bacterial small subunit ribosomal RNA
Source: RNAcentral